Molecule: ribosomal RNA, 253 nt
Filed under: uncultured bacterium
Lineage: Bacteria
Description: partial 16S ribosomal RNA
Rfam family: Bacterial small subunit ribosomal RNA
Source: RNAcentral
UACAGAGGUCUCAAGCGUUGUUCGGAUUCAUUGGGCGUAAAGGGUGCGUAGGCGGCGCGGUAAGUCGGGUGUGAAAUCUCGGAGCUUAACUCCGAAACUGCAUUCGAUACUGCCGUGCUUGAGGACUGGAGAGGAGACUGGAAUUUACGGUGUAGCGGUGAAAUGCGUAGAUAUCGGAAGGAACACCAGUGGCGAAGGCGGCUACCUGGCCUAAUACUGACACUGAGGCACGAAAGCGUGGGGAGCAAACAGG